GUAACCUACCUAUAAGACUGGGAUAACUCCGGGAAACCGGGGCUAAUACCGGAUAACACAUGAAACCGCAUGGUUUCAUGAUGAAAGACGGUUUUGCUGUCACUUAUAGAUGACCCGCGGCGUAUUAGCUAGUUGGUAAGGUAACGGCUUACCAAGGCAACGAUACGUAGCCGACCUGAGAGGGUGAUCGGCCACACUGGAACUGAGACACGGUCCAG
This 218-nucleotide ribosomal RNA is filed under the name uncultured Staphylococcus sp. Its description in RNAcentral is "partial 16S ribosomal RNA". It matches the Rfam family "Bacterial small subunit ribosomal RNA", at positions 121 to 334 of the family's 1533-position model. Lineage: Bacteria; Bacillati; Bacillota; Bacilli; Caryophanales; Staphylococcaceae. The record is from RNAcentral.